RNAcentral lists this ribosomal RNA (739 nucleotides) under uncultured bacterium. RNAcentral describes it as "bacterial SSU rRNA". It matches the Rfam family "Bacterial small subunit ribosomal RNA", at positions 102 to 857 of the family's 1533-position model. The record is from RNAcentral.
ACGGGUGAGUAACGCGUGAGCAACCUGCCUUUCAGAGGGGGAUAACGUUUGGAAACGAACGCUAAUACCGCAUGAUAUUAUUGAGCUGCAUGGCUUGAUAAUCAAAGGAGCAAUCCGCUGAAAGAUGGGCUCGCGUCCGAUUAGGUAGUUGGCGGGGCAACGGCCCACCAAGCCGACGAUCGGUAGCCGGACUGAGAGGUUGAACGGCCACAUUGGGACUGAGACACGGCCCAGACUCCUACGGGAGGCAGCAGUGAGGGAUAUUGGUCAAUGGGGGAAACCCUGAACCAGCAACGCCGCGUGAGGGAAGACGGUUUUCGGAUUGUAAGCCUCUGUCCUCUGUGAAGAUGAUGACGGUAGCAGAGGAGGAAGCUCCGGCUAACUACGUGCCAGCAGCCGCGGUAAUACGUAGGGAGCAAGCGUUGUCCGGAUUUACUGGGUGUAAAGGGUGCGUAGGCGGCUUUGCAAGUCAGAAGUGAAAUCCAUGGGCUUAACCCAUGAACUGCUUUUGAAACUGCAGAGCUUGAGUGGAGUAGAGGUAGGCGGAAUUCCCGGUGUAGCGGUGAAAUGCGUAGAGAUCGGGAGGAACACCAGUGGCGAAGGCGGCCUGCUGGGCUCUAACUGACGCUGAGGCACGAAAGCGUGGGUAGCAAACAGGAUUAGAUACCCUGGUAGUCCACGCUGUAAACGAUGAUUACUAGGUGUGGGUGGACUGACCCCAUCCGUGCCGGAGUUAACA